CUUUGGACUCCAGAAUGUCUGGCUCUAGAGGGUAAACAGGAGGCUGACUGAAAAUACCUAGCCCAUCUAACUCUUCCUUCAGAAAUGCUAACAGUUAAGGACGCUCUCAAUGAUUUAGGGCCACCCCAAUCCAGGAUGACCUCCUCUCCAGAUUUGUAACCAAUUACACCUGCAAAAGACCUACUUCCAAAGAAGGUUCCAUUUUCAAAUUCUGAAGUCAUGACAUGGACAUAGCAUCUGGGAGCCACUCAUUCACUCCAUACAGCACCCAGUUCCCAGAUGCCAGCCUGCCUUCCUCAGGACAGCACUCAGGCUGGUGACUUUCCGUCUUCCUGCAUGGAGGUGUCUUUUGUUUCUUACUGUAACUUAGUGAGGUUGCCUGGGGGGACCCUGCUGGUUGACCUCCUGGUGAUCCCAGGGACCAUGCUGAGUGUCCUCCCGAAGUGCGGGAGCAUGGCCAGGGCUCCCUGUGCAUACUCUACACUGACCAGUUGGUGGUCAGGCACCUGCGCAGGC
Molecule: long non-coding RNA, 516 nt
Organism: Bos taurus (domestic cattle)
Lineage: Eukaryota; Metazoa; Chordata; Mammalia; Artiodactyla; Bovidae
Source: Ensembl